CGCGAUAUGUGGCUGCACCGUAACGGUCUCAACAUCUUCAACCUCAAAACCGUGAAAAAACAAACAAAGAAAAACAUGUUUUGCUGGACGAGCAGCAGCGUGGGCUCGGAGCCGCUCGACGGCGUCGCUAACAUGUCUAAGAGCGACAUACUGAGAGGAAUCAUCACUGAGAAACUGAGCACAGCCGCCCGGGAGAUCUUAGCGGUGGUGGAGAGGACGAUAGCUGACUACGAGGAGGAGGUCGCGGGCUUCAGACAGGAGAUCGACCGGCAGAGGAGACUGCUGGAGCUUCUGCAGCCUCGGGUCAAGCUUGAGAGAAGAGAUGCACAUAUCAAUUUGGAAUUCUGCCUCAAAGCCAGAAUUACAGGAAUGCACCACGUGUUGCAGAAGACUUUUUCACUGCCCUCUGUGCCCCACUUUCAGCCCUACUGUCAGGGCAGUGAUUGAGGAGCAUAUAAAUGGACACAUUAAAAAUGCUUUGCCUUUUAAAGAUAAAAUGAUAUGCCGGUGCAGACUGCCAUGUAGGACAACAGGACACUUUCACUGUCCUGUCUGUAACAUGACAAUCAUACGGCGUGGGGAUAUGGCAAGGCAUUUAUUGUCAUGUCAGCAUUCUUCAAUAGCUAGUCAGCCACCACUAUCAGGACUGCUCCCCACUGCACUCUCCAAGGAGCCCCGUCGCCCUCUCAUUGUCUUCUCUCCAGCAUCUAAACCAUUUUCUGAGUCUUCGGUAGAACAUGCUUAUGCUCUACCCUCUGUGCUAAAUAAAGUCCAUGAAAAUGAAAUGCCCUCACUGUGGUCUUAGUCUUCUUUAAAAAAAAAAAAGGCCUCAAGGCUCACAUGAUGAGGAGGCAUUCAAACAGAUCAUUCAAACAGAUCAAUAGAUGUUUGCCUGGCCUGGCAUCUGCAGUAUUUUUGUGUAGAGGGACUUCUUCCUCUUUGUUUUUCAGUUUGCAGAGGACAUGGAGCUCUUUUUAAAUGUGCUGACGAGCAGGGACUAUGGGUCAAUGCGAUGUUUGACAUUUAAUGGAGAGAUGAAGGAACUGGCUGUUUGGGUUUUGUUUUUUGUUUUUUUUAAUGUGUUGUUAGGUUGUUGUUUUGUUUUUGUUUUUUUUCAGUGUACAGAAUUCCAAUUAAAGUUAUUUCAAAAUGUUGUUUACUUGUUUCCAUGUCCAUACUUACAGUAAAACAUUACAGUGUAAAUGUAACAGCAUUGUUUUAUAUUGUUUUAUUGUUUUAUACUUGAAACUUCAAAUUUAAAAGCUUAGAGUUGCUAUUAACAUUAAUGUAUUACCCUGUAAUCAAUAACAUUUUUAUACAUUUUAUGCAUUAAGCCUCUGGGCUUUGUGCUGGCCAUUUGUAGCCACUUCACUUUUAUUUAUUUAUUUAUUACCAUUUUUGCAUCAAAUAUUACAUAGACUGCAGUGAAUUUAUUGAGCUUUGAGGUUCCC
Molecule: long non-coding RNA, 1451 nt
Organism: Oreochromis aureus
Lineage: Eukaryota; Metazoa; Chordata; Actinopteri; Cichliformes; Cichlidae
Source: Ensembl